This 28-nucleotide non-coding RNA is filed under the name Mus musculus (house mouse). Lineage: Eukaryota; Metazoa; Chordata; Mammalia; Rodentia; Muridae. The record is from RNAcentral.
UCAGAUGACACAUGAGAGGAUUCCCAGU